GAUUGUACAGAAGUAACCAGGGCAGCCAAGAGAAGUGGGCAAUCCCCAGACGGAUGCUAGGAAGGCUUCCCGGAGGUGGUGGCACAUGAGGAAUGAGGAAGAAUUUGCUAAAUGGACAUUUCCUAAGUGGACAAGAAUUUUUGGACUCAGUACCAUGGUGUGGUGGCACCCAGUUACAAAUGCAGCUCUUCCCCCACCUUCAGCACCACAUUCUAUGGAACUCCCCACCUCACCAACCAGUACCAAACAAGACGCUUCUGACCUUGACCGCGACCUGCUGGAGCAAGAUAUGAAUCGUGUUUGACUGAUUUCAGAUGGCUCCUGAGAGGGAAGUGCUCUCUGCAGUGUCUCCGCCGUACUCAAAACAAACAAGCCGCAGCCCGAGAGCUCUGUGGUGGGACAUGACCCAAACACUGAAGUCUUUAUGGCCCAAAGUCACCUCUCCAGAAUGCACU
Ochotona princeps (American pika) is the source of this 455-nucleotide long non-coding RNA. RefSeq lists it as uncharacterized. The record is from RefSeq and is a predicted model, not a curated record. Lineage: Eukaryota; Metazoa; Chordata; Mammalia; Lagomorpha; Ochotonidae. The transcript is spliced from 3 exons.